This 181-nucleotide ribosomal RNA is filed under the name ascomycete sp. VTT D-041033. RNAcentral's name for it is "partial 18S ribosomal RNA". It matches the Rfam family "Eukaryotic small subunit ribosomal RNA", at positions 1653 to 1831 of the family's 1831-position model. The record is from RNAcentral. RNAcentral also lists the same sequence under 1 other name. Lineage: Eukaryota; Fungi; Ascomycota.
CUGCCCUUUGUACACACCGCCCGUCGCUACUACCGAUUGAAUGGCUCGGUGAGGCCUUCGGACUGGCCCAGGGAGGUCGGCAACGACCACCCAGGGCCGGAAAGUUGGUCAAACCCGGUCAUUUAGAGGAAGUAAAAGUCGUAACAAGGUCUCCGUAGGUGAACCUGCGGAGGGAUCAUUA